This 200-nucleotide ribosomal RNA is filed under the name uncultured bacterium. RNAcentral's name for it is "partial 16S ribosomal RNA". It matches the Rfam family "Bacterial small subunit ribosomal RNA", at positions 524 to 723 of the family's 1533-position model. The record is from RNAcentral.
UACGUAGGGUGCAAGCGUUGUCCGGAAUUAUUGGGCGUAAAGAGCUCGUAGGCGGUUUGUCGCGUCUGCUGUGAAAACCCGAGGCUCAACCUCGGGCCUGCAGUGGGUACGGGCAGACUAGAGUGCGGUAGGGGAGAUUGGAAUUCCUGGUGUAGCGGUGGAAUGCGCAGAUAUCAGGAGGAACACCGGUGGCGAAGGCG